This 492-nucleotide ribosomal RNA is filed under the name uncultured bacterium. RNAcentral describes it as "partial 16S ribosomal RNA". It matches the Rfam family "Bacterial small subunit ribosomal RNA", at positions 29 to 507 of the family's 1533-position model. The record is from RNAcentral.
AGUGAACGCUGGCGGUAGGCCUAACACAUGCAAGUCGAACGGCAGCACAGUAAGAGCUUGCUCUUACGGGUGGCGAGUGGCGGACGGGUGAGGAAUACAUCGGAAUCUACUUUUUCGUGGGGGAUAACGUAGGGAAACUUACGCUAAUACCGCAUACGACCUACGGGUGAAAGCAGGGGAUCUUCGGACUUUGCGCGAUUGAAUGAGCCGAUGUCGGAUUAGCUAGUUGGCGGGGUAAGGGCCCACCAAGGCGACGAUCCGUAGCUGGUCUGAGAGGAGGAUCGGCCACACUGGAACUGAGACACGGUCCAGACUCCUACGGGAGGCAGCAGUGGGGAAUAUUGGACAAUGGGCGCAAGCCUGAUCCAGCCAUACCGCGUGGGUGAAGAAGGCCUUCGGGUUGUAAAGCCCUUUUGUUGGGAAAGAAAAGCAGCAGGUUAAUACCCCGCUGUUCUGACGGUACCCAAAGAAUAAGCACCGGCUAACUUCGUG